CACGUGUAGCGGUGAAAUGCGUAGAGAUGUGGAGGAACACCAGUGGCGAAGGCGACUCUCUGGUCUGUAACUGACGCUGAGGAGCGAAAGCGUGGGGAGCGAACAGGAUUAGAUACCCUGGUAGUCCACGCCGUAAACGAUGAGUGCUAAGUGUUAGGGGGUUUCCGCCCCUUAGUGCUGCAGCUAACGCAUUAAGCACUCCGCCUGGGGAGUACGGUCGCAAGACUGAAACUCAAAGGAAUUGACGGGGGCCCGCACAAGCGGUGGAGCAUGUGGUUUAAUUUGAAGCAACGCGAAGAACCUUACCAGGUCUUGACAUCCUCUGACAAUCCUAGAGAUAGGACGUCCCCUUCGGGGGCAGAGUGACAGGUGGUGCAUGGUUGUCGUCAGCUCGUGUCGUGAGAUGUUGGGUUAAGUCCCGCAACGAGCGCAACCCUUGAUCUUAGUUGCCAGCAUUCAGUUGGGCACUCUAAGGUGACUGCCGGUGACAAACCGGAGGAAGGUGGGGAUGACGUCAAAUCAUCAUGCCCCUUAUGACCUGGGCUACACACGUGCUACAAUGGACAGAACAAAGGGCAGCGAAACCGCGAGGUUAAGCCAAUCCCACAAAUCUGUUCUCAGUUCGGAUCGCAGUCUGCAACUCGACUGCGUGAAGCUGGAAUCGCUAGUAAUCGCGGAUCAGCAUGCCGCGGUGAAUACGUUCCCGGGCCUUGUACACACCC
This 722-nucleotide ribosomal RNA is filed under the name Bacillus licheniformis. Its description in RNAcentral is "bacterial SSU rRNA". It matches the Rfam family "Bacterial small subunit ribosomal RNA", at positions 670 to 1392 of the family's 1533-position model. Lineage: Bacteria; Bacillati; Bacillota; Bacilli; Caryophanales; Bacillaceae. The record is from RNAcentral.